AUGGAUAUGGAUGGCAAAGGCAAGUUAGUCCUGCUGGAAGCCACGGAUGAACCAGUUGAUCAUCUGGAGCAUGGGGUGCUUGGGGGGCUUGAGAAAGUGGAUGGGCAUCCAGCGGACCCCCCUGGCCUUGUUCACCAUCCGGCAGUCCCGCCUGAUCUGCCCCUUGUUCUUCUUGACGAUCACGUCCAGCUUGCUCACCUUCUGCAUCGCCUCCCCGAACCUCUGCUGGAACAGCGCGUCGUCCUUGGCGUACUGCUCCACCAGCGGCCUCGUCUGCGGGUCCAGCGCCAGCGUGUUGUCCGAGGUCAGCAGGCUCCGCCGCGCCAGCAGCUCCUGGUAGUAGGCGUUGUCCAGCUUCUCCCCGGUGCGCUCGUCGAAGUUCACCUUGGGCGCCUGCUGCGGGAUGUCGUCCGGCUUGGGCCGCGGGCAAAUCUUCCGCAGCCGCUGCGCGAACGCCGGGUCCAGCGACGGGUCGAUGUCCGCCGUCUUGGAGAAGCCGUAGAUGCGGUUGGAGAACAUGAAGCAGUGCGCGCCCCCGAUGGAGUGCGCGCCGGAGAGCGUCACCAGGUCCUGCUGCGACAGGCCCCGGCUCGCGAACAGCUCCGUCAGCCGCGGCACCGUGUGCCCCGGCACCGGGAAGUUGCCCGGCAGGUCGUCCAUCCGGGAGUGCGUGCCGUCGCGCCGCCCGGCGGGCACCUCGUAGCUCGGCAGCCCCGCCGCCACCGCCGCAUCGCGCGCCGCGAACGACAGGAUGUCGGAGCACGACACCGUGCGCGGGCACAUGGCCUCGAGGCUCGCCUUGGCCACGUCGAUCGUCUGCAGGCCGUGCAGGGUGAACCCGUUCGCCGACGACUCCUUCUCCGGGACGUCGCCCGACGGAGACUCGUCCAGCAGGAUGGACGCGUCGCACCCCUACACCAAAGCACACCGGCCGUGAUAAUUAAGAAACAUUCUGCAUUGGCUGGCAUGGCUCGUGGGCGUGGUGAUCACCGAUCAUGCAUGCAUACCGUGAUGAAGCAGUCGUGGAAGAAGAUGCGGAUGAGGCCCGGGGCGAUGGUGUGGUCCAUGCCGUAG
Molecule: ribosomal RNA, 1074 nt
Filed under: Triticum aestivum (bread wheat)
Lineage: Eukaryota; Viridiplantae; Streptophyta; Magnoliopsida; Poales; Poaceae
Description: partial small subunit ribosomal RNA
Source: RNAcentral